UACGUAGGGUGCGAGCGUUGUCCGGAAUUAUUGGGCGUAAAGAGCUCGUAGGCGGUCUGUCGCGUCGGUCGUGAAAACCUGCAGCUUAACUGUGGGCGUGCGGUCGAUACGGGCAUGACUGGAGUUCGGCAGGGGAGACUGGAAUUCCUGGUGUAGCGGUGAAAUGCGCAGAUAUCAGGAGGAACACCGGUGGCGAAGGCGGGUCUCUGGGCCGAUACUGACGCUGAGGAGCGAAAGCGUGGGAGCGAACAGG
RNAcentral lists this ribosomal RNA (253 nucleotides) under uncultured bacterium. Its description in RNAcentral is "partial 16S ribosomal RNA". It matches the Rfam family "Bacterial small subunit ribosomal RNA", at positions 524 to 776 of the family's 1533-position model. The record is from RNAcentral.